UGGCGUGUAGCUAGUUGGUAAAGCAGUCGGCUGUUAACCGACCGACCGCAGGUUCGAUCCCUGCUGCGCCAG
Molecule: transfer RNA, 72 nt
Filed under: bacterium
Lineage: Bacteria
Description: tRNA-Asn
Rfam family: tRNA
About the family: Transfer RNA (tRNA) molecules are approximately 80 nucleotides in length. Their secondary structure includes four short double-helical elements and three loops (D, anti-codon, and T loops).
Source: RNAcentral